GAUGAAGAACGUAGCGAAAUGCGAUAAGUAAUGUUAAUUGCAGAAUUCCGUGAAUCAUCGAAUCUUUGAACGCACAUUGCGCCCCCUGGCAUUCCGGGGGGCAUGCCUGUCCGAGCGUCAUUUCUGCCCUCAAGCACGGCUUGUGUGUUGGGUGUGGUCCCCCCGGGGACCUGCCCGAAAGGCAGCGGCGACGUCCGUCUGGUCCUCGAGCGUAUGGGGCUCUGUCACUCGCUCGGGAAGGACCUGCGGGGGUUGGUCACCACUAUAUUUUACCACGGUUGACCUCGGAUCAGGUAGGAGUUACCCGCUGAACUUAAGCAUAUCAAUAAGCGGAGGA
RNAcentral lists this unclassified non-coding RNA (337 nucleotides) under soil metagenome. RNAcentral describes it as "partial contains 5.8S ribosomal RNA, internal transcribed spacer 2, and large subunit ribosomal RNA". The stretch from base 1 to 120 matches the Rfam family "5.8S ribosomal RNA", at positions 35 to 154 of the family's 154-position model. The record is from RNAcentral.